Molecule: long non-coding RNA, 390 nt
Filed under: Homo sapiens (human)
Lineage: Eukaryota; Metazoa; Chordata; Mammalia; Primates; Hominidae
Description: non-protein coding lnc-DNAJB6-4:2
Source: RNAcentral
AAUGUUCAGUUCGAGUCAUCAGCUGUCCCUUUGGGUCUUUUAUCACUGCUUUUGUCAAGCUAUCUAUUUAAUUGAAAGAAGUUAAUUGAAUGAAAAUGAUCAACUAAGCUUGUAUUAAUAUUGCUAAUGGAACUUUCUUCUUGGCCAUGUUUGGAGAAAGAUGUCAAGCUAGACUUUAGGAAGGGCCCAUUAAUGCUUGCACUUAACCUGAUGGGCUAAUUAAGGAAUGCUUAUUCAUCCUCCAAGUCCACGAGAGUCUCUCUCCAGCCCGUUCUGCCUGGUUUUACAACACAUUUCUCUUAGGAGCAUGAGCAUUAGCAGCAGCAGCCGUAACUGAUAAUGUUUUGAUUGCACUGAAUACAGUCCUAAUGCAUCGUUGAAUUUAUAAUU